ACACAUGCAAGUCGAGCGGUAAGGCCCUUUCGGGGGUACACGAGCGGCGAACGGGUGAGUAACACGUGAGUAAUCUGCCCUUCACUUCGGGAUAAGCCUCGGAAACGGGGUCUAAUACCGGAUACGACACUUUUACGCAUGUAAUGGGUGUGGAAAGUUUUUUCGGUGGGGGAUGUGCUCGCGGCCUAUCAGCUUGUUGGUGGGGUAAUGGCCUACCAAGGCUUCGACGGGUAGCCGGCCUGAGAGGGUGACCGGCCACACUGGGACUGAGACACGGCCCAGACUCCUACGGGAGGCAGCAGUGGGGAAUAUUGGACAAUGGGCGGAAGCCUGAUCCAGCAACGCCGCGUGAGGGAUGACGGCCUUCGGGUUGUAAACCUCUUUCAGCGGGGACGAAGCGCAAGUGACGGUACCCGCAGAAGAAGCACCGGCCAACUACGUGCCAGCAGCCGCGGUAAUACGUAGGGUGCGAGCGUUGUCCGGAAUUAUUGGGCGUAAAGGGCUCGUAGGCGGUUUGUCGCGUCGGGAGUGAAAACGCCGGGCUUAACUCGGUGCUUGCUUUCGAUACGGGCAGACUAGAGGCAUGCAGGGGAGAACGGAAUUCCUGGUGUAGCGGUGAAAUGCGCAGAUAUCAGGAGGAACACCGGUGGCGAAGGCGGUUCUCUGGGCAUGUCCUGACGCUGAGGAGCGAAAGUGUGGGGAGCGAACAGG
Molecule: ribosomal RNA, 711 nt
Filed under: uncultured Actinomycetes bacterium
Lineage: Bacteria; Bacillati; Actinomycetota; Actinomycetes
Description: bacterial SSU rRNA
Rfam family: Bacterial small subunit ribosomal RNA
Source: RNAcentral